This 2103-nucleotide ribosomal RNA is filed under the name Triticum aestivum (bread wheat). RNAcentral's name for it is "partial small subunit ribosomal RNA". The record is from RNAcentral. Lineage: Eukaryota; Viridiplantae; Streptophyta; Magnoliopsida; Poales; Poaceae.
AUGUUGCAGGCUGGAAGGCGGUCGUCGAGUGUGAUCUACAAUGAGCUAACGAGUACAAGUGCUUUCAGGACACCUGCAAAUGGCACCGGUGGAGUUCUUAAGGCGCUGCAAGAGAGGUACCGAUCAAGCUACGUCGGUAGCUUCGCGCGUAGGCUACGGGACUUUGACACGCCAAGUGACGCCUCCCUUCUUAAAGAGAUCUACAGAAGUAACCCAGAAAGAGUCGUCCAGAUCUUCGAGAGCCAGCCUUCCUUACAUAACAACUCUUCGGCUCUCUCCCAGUAUGUGAAGGCUCUUGUCGCUCUCGACAGGCUGGAUGAAAGCCCGCUGCUUAAGACAUUGCAGAGAGGAAUUGUCAAUUCAGCAAGGGAGGAAGAAGGGCUUAGUGGCAUCCCAGCAUUUCAAAGUGUUGGCCGUACGACGAAAGAUGGGGCUCUUGGUACUGCUGGUGCACCAAUUCACAUGGUUGCAUCAGAGACUGGCCAAUUCAAGGAGCAGCUUUGGCGUACCUUCCGAAGCAUUGCACUCACUUUCCUAGUAAUCUCCGGCAUCGGGGCUCUGAUUGAAGAUAGAGGAAUUAGUAAAGGCCUUGGAUUGCAUGAAGAGGUUCAGCCAAGCUUGGAUUCGAGCACAAAAUUCAGUGAUGUCAAGGGGGUUGAUGAAGCUAAAGCUGAACUCGAGGAAAUAGUUCACUACCUACGAGAUCCCAAGCGUUUCACACGCCUUGGUGGCAAGCUUCCAAAAGGCGUUUUGCUUGUCGGCCCACCCGGGACAGGGAAAACCAUGUUGGCAAGGGCCAUCGCUGGGGAAGCUGGUGUUCCUUUCUUCUCCUGCAGUGGCAGUGAGUUUGAGGAGAUGUUUGUGGGUGUCGGGGCGAGAAGAGUGAGGGAUCUCUUCAGUGCAGCAAAGAAGAGAUCUCCUUGUAUAAUUUUCAUUGAUGAAAUUGAUGCAAUUGGUGGGAGCAGAAACCCAAAAGAUCAACAGUAUAUGAAGAUGACCUUGAACCAGUUACUUGUUGAGCUGGAUGGCUUUAAGCAGAAUGAUGGGAUCAUUGUAAUUGCAGCAACAAACUUCCCCCAGUCACUAGAUAAAGCCCUUGUUAGGCCUGGGCGUUUUGACCGUCAUAUCGUGGUCCCUAACCCAGAUGUUGAGGGCCGACGGCAGAUCCUGGAGACUCACAUGUCAAAGGUGUUAAAAGCAGACGAUGUGGAUCUGAUGACCAUUGCCAGGGGAACACCUGGAUUCUCAGGUGCAGACCUUGCAAACCUGGUGAACGUGGCUGCUCUCAAGGCUGCCAUGGAUGGAGCGAAAUCUGUUUCAAUGACCGACCUCGAGUUUGCCAAGGACAGGAUCAUGAUGGGCAGCGAGCGCAAAUCAGCAGUGAUAUCCGACGAAAGCAGGAAGAUGACUGCAUACCAUGAGGGAGGGCAUGCGCUGGUCGCGAUACACACGGCCGGUGCCCACCCUGUCCACAAGGCCACCAUUGUUCCCAGGGGAAUGGCUCUGGGCAUGGUCACGCAGCUGCCAGAGAAGGACCAGACCAGCGUGUCUAGGAAGCAGAUGCUGGCAAGGCUGGAUGUCUGCAUGGGAGGGCGGGUGGCCGAGGAGCUUAUAUUUGGGGAGAGCGAGGUAACGUCGGGCGCUUCGUCCGACCUGAGCCAAGCGACCCGGCUGGCCAAGGCCAUGGUGACCAAGUACGGCAUGAGCAAGCGCGUGGGCCUCGUGGCCUACAACUACGACGACGACGGCAAGACCAUGAGCACGCAGACGCGGGGCCUGGUGGAGCAGGAGGUGAAGGAGCUGCUGGAGACGGCCUACAACAACGCCAAGACGAUCCUCACGACCCACAACAAGGAGCUGCACGCGCUCGCCAACGCCCUCAUCGAGCGCGAGACCCUCACUGGCGCCCAGAUCAAGAACCUUCUGUCGCAGGUAAACAGCAGCAGUGACACCCAGCAGCCCCAGGCCGCCGAGGUUCCACAGCAAACACCUGCUGCCCCAGCCUCGCCCCAGUCUCCAGCAGCAGCGGCUGCGGCCGCUGCAGCAGCUGCAGCACAGCAAGCGGCGGCUCAAGCCAAAGGAGUCGCAGGCAUCGGGUCCUAG